GUGACUUAGUUCAACGGCCGCGGUACCCUAACCGUGCGAAGGUAGCAUAAUCACUUGUUCUUUAAAUAGGGACUUGUAUCAACGGCAUCACGAGGGUUAUACUGUCUCCUUUUUCUAAUCAAUGAAACUGAUCUCCCCGUGAAGAAGCGGGGAUAAACUUAUAAGACGAGAAGACCCCAUGGAGCUUUAAACCAAUUAUAUACCUCUUCAACUUAAAUCAUGCUAGUCUCAGAAUAAUAUAUAAUAGUUUUAGAUUGGGGGGAUCACGGAGUAAAACUAAACCUCCUUGACAAACGGACCUUGCCCUUAUUUAAGAAGUACCCUUCUAAAAAUCAACAAAUUGAUGUUUAAUGACCCAAAUUUUUGAUCAACGAACCAAGUUACCCUGGGGAUAACAGCGCAAUCUACUUCAAGAGCUCAUAUCGACAAGUGGGUUUACGACCUCGAUGUUGGAUCAGGAUAUCCUAGUGGUGCAGCCGCUACUGACGGUUCGUUUGUUCAACGAUUAAAAUCCUACG
Molecule: ribosomal RNA, 518 nt
Filed under: Clinotarsus alticola (Assam Hills frog)
Lineage: Eukaryota; Metazoa; Chordata; Amphibia; Anura; Ranidae
Description: partial large subunit ribosomal RNA
Rfam family: Bacterial large subunit ribosomal RNA
Source: RNAcentral